This is a long non-coding RNA of Octopus bimaculoides (California two-spot octopus), 835 nucleotides long. RefSeq lists it as uncharacterized. The record is from RefSeq and is a predicted model, not a curated record. NCBI's taxonomy places the organism in Eukaryota, Metazoa, Mollusca, Cephalopoda, Octopoda, Octopodidae.
UAUACAUAUAUAAUUAUGUGUGCGUGUGUGUAUAUGUGUGUGUGCGUUUGCGUCUGGGUAUGUUUGUGUGUGCGCGUGUGUGUAUAUGUUUAUGCAUGUGUGUAUGAGUGUGUGCGUGUGUGAAUGUGUGUAAUGUUACUAACCUCGUGCUCUCAAUAACAACGGAUCAGCUGGCCACCAUCUGUGAGAAAACCAACACCAUGUCGCAAUUCACUCUGCCAGAAAUUUGCAAACGACAUGCUGUACUGCUUGGCAUUCGCGCCGGAAGCUCCAAUACGAACAUUUCAGAGGGUUUGGGUGUCAAUCUGAGGAUAGUGCAAUCUGAAUGAUAAAAAUCAAACAUCCAGUCGACAUCAUGGUGUUUGGAGUGAUCACUAGUAAUGGUGACGUUAUGCCCUCCAUUCAUCUUUCUACACGGCCUCAGACUCAGCACGGAUGCCUACAACAAGUGCCCGGGGGAAGCAGUGCUGCCUUGGAUCGAGAGGGUGGCUGCUGGAAGUCCCUAUGUCUGGCAACAGGACUCUACCUCAUUCCACGCAAGCAAGAGAACCCAGUCAUGGAUGUCAGACAAUUUCUGCGACCACAUCACCCCUAACAUUUGGGCACCUAAUUCCCCGGACUGCAAACUCCUUGAUUAUUAUGUGUGGGGCGGAGUUGAGCGAGAGAUCAACAAAACUCCUUGUAACACCAAAGAUUAACCGAAAGCAAGGAUUAUCGCAGCAUUGACCAACUUAACAAGGAGACCAUCCAGAAGAGUUGCAGGAGAUUCCGAAGUCGUCUGGAGGCUGUGGUUGAAACCAAUGGCAAUUUUAUUGAAUAAAUUUACUUUUGAGUA